RNAcentral lists this unclassified non-coding RNA (345 nucleotides) under soil metagenome. RNAcentral's name for it is "partial contains 5.8S ribosomal RNA, internal transcribed spacer 2, and large subunit ribosomal RNA". The stretch from base 1 to 119 matches the Rfam family "5.8S ribosomal RNA", at positions 35 to 154 of the family's 154-position model. The record is from RNAcentral.
GAUGAAGAACGUAGUGAAAUGCGAUACGUAAUGUGAAUUGCAAAUUCAGUGAAUCAUCGAGUCUUUGAACGCACAUUGCGCCCCCUGGUAUUCCGGGGGGCAUGCCUGUCCGAGCGUCAUUGCUGCCCUCAAGCACGGCUUGUGUGUUGGGCCCCGUCUUCCGAUCCCGGGGGACGGGCCCGAAAGGCAGCGGCGGCACCGCGUCCGGUCCUCGAGCGUAUGGGGCUUUGUCACCCGCUCUGUAGGCCCGGCCGGCGCUUGCCGAUCAACCCAAAUUUUUAUCCAGGUUGACCUCGGAUCAGGUAGGGAUACCCGCUGAACUUAAGCAUAUCAAUAAGCGGAGGA